RNAcentral lists this ribosomal RNA (201 nucleotides) under Panthera uncia (snow leopard). RNAcentral's name for it is "partial large subunit ribosomal RNA". The record is from RNAcentral. Lineage: Eukaryota; Metazoa; Chordata; Mammalia; Carnivora; Felidae.
GGCGGGAAUAUGACAAUAAGACGAGAAGACCCUAUGGAGCUUUAAUUAACCAGCCCAAAGAGAUCUUAAUAACCAACCGACAGGGUAUAACAAACCUCUACCAUGGGCUGACAAUUUAGGUUGGGGUGACCUCGGAGAAUAAAACAACCUCCGAGUGAUUUAAAUCUAGACUAACCAGUCGAAAGUAUUACAUCACUUAUU